Molecule: non-coding RNA, 68 nt
Organism: Procavia capensis (Cape rock hyrax)
Lineage: Eukaryota; Metazoa; Chordata; Mammalia; Hyracoidea; Procaviidae
Source: Ensembl
GCUCCUGUAGUAUAGCACAAAUACGGUGGCCUUGUAAGCCACUAACGAAGACCAACCUUCCAAGAGCA